RNAcentral lists this ribosomal RNA (1015 nucleotides) under Backusella indica. Its description in RNAcentral is "LSU rRNA". It matches the Rfam family "Eukaryotic large subunit ribosomal RNA", at positions 38 to 960 of the family's 3401-position model. Lineage: Eukaryota; Fungi; Mucoromycota; Mucoromycetes; Mucorales; Backusellaceae. The record is from RNAcentral.
GCAUAUCAAUAAGCGGAGGAAAAGAAAAUAACAAUGAUUUCCCUAGUAACGGCGAGUGAAGAGGAAAGAGCUCAAAGUUGGAAUCCGGCUGCCCUAGGUAGUUGGAAUUGUAAACUGGAGAGGUGUUUUCCAGGCGAGCCAAGCAAAUAAGUCCUUUGGAACAGGGCAUCAUAGAGGGUGAGAAUCCCGUCUUUGGCUUGAGCAUUGCCUUUUGCGAUACACUUUCAAAGAGUCAGGUUGUUUGGGAAUGCAGCCUAAAUUGGGUGGUAAAUCUCACCUAAAGCUAAAUAUUGGCGAGAGACCGAUAGCGAACAAGUACCGUGAGGGAAAGAUGAAAAGAACUUUGAAAAGAGAGUUAAACAGUAUGUGAAAUUGUUGAAAGGGAACCGUUUGGAGCCAGACCGGCUGUUCUAUAAUCAAUCUCUGCUUCGGUAGGGAUGCACUUGUAGGACUUUAGCCUGCCAACAGCAAUUUUCUUUGGUGGAAAAAACUAGGAGGAAUGUGGCCCUUCGGGGUGUUAUAGCCUCUUAGAAAAUACACUGAAGGGGAUUGAGGACUGCAGCAAAUGCUUUUGGCGAAAUAACUGGGUGCUUGUGUUAAGGAAGUAUAGAAUUUCUGCUUCGGGUGGUGCUAUGCUCUAAGAUGCAACUCGCUUAGACUAUUUUCUAUUUGCUUAGGUUGUUGGCUUAAUGACUCUAAAUGACCCGUCUUGAAACACGGACCAAGGAGUCCAUCAUAGGUGCAAGUCUUUGGGUUAAAAACUCAUAGGCGUAAGGAAACUGAUGGAUACGAAGGCCUCACGGCUGGCAGUAUCGUCCGGCAAUGACGUUUUAUACAGACUUGACCGAGAUAAAGCACUUAUGCUGGGACCCGAAAGAUGGUGAACUAUGCCUGAAUAGGGUGAAGCCAGAGGAAACUCUGGUGGAGGCUCGUAGCGAUUCUGACGUGCAAAUCGAUCGUCAAAUUUGGGUAUAGGGGCGAAAGACUAAUCGAACCAUCUAGUAGCUGGUCCUGC